UUUUUUUUUUUUUCUUUUUUAUAGAAGUUUUCCUGCCAAUACAGGUUUUUUACUCUGCCAGCACGGCCCUCAGCAAAUAAUCAAAAGACCCAGAUUCGAAGAUGUAUAAUCUCUGUUUUCUAAAAAUCAAAAAUAUUAUUUUAGGAUUUGUGGCGAAAGAAGCUGGUGAUGAUGAUCUCUGUGAUGUGGGAAGUGUGGGAGCACCUGCAGCAGCUCACACCCAUCACUCAGAAGAAGAAGAAUUGUUGGGUAACAGAGAGAGAGUUAGAGAUGAGCUUCGAUUGUUUUGGCGAAGAAGAAAAGUUGUGAACAGGUAGAGAGAAGUGUGAAAUUUGAGCACAGAGAAUGAGAGAGAGAGAAGGAGAGAUUCUUCCUUCCGAACGAAGGUGUGAUUGGUUUAUAAUAAGAAGUGGCACAGCCGAUGGGUGCUCCUUGGGGAGAAAGGACAUUGUCACUCCGUACUUACCAACAUGCCCCUCCCUUUUCAAUUUUCACAAUAUAUUUCUUCUGCUUUUUUUCUUACAUCAUUUAUUUUUUUAUAAAUGAAAAUGUAUUCAAUAAUUUUAAGCAAAAGGGCAAAAUAGAGAGAGAGGGAAAUAGUAUAUAGAUGAUGAGAUGCAUUUUAUAGAUGACAACGUCAACGAGGCGCAAGAGAGAAACAAAAGAAUUGUGUCAAAAUCAAAGUCGCUUUCCAAUUUACAUUGGAGAUGGUACAGUAAACCCACCCGUCUACUUCUCCACCAUGACUUGGUCCUCUCCACCAGCCCUCCGCCCCCACGUGGCUCGUUUUCCAACACGGAGGGCCCUUCUUUGUCUCCUGAUGCGGUCCCGCGGCCGGGUGAAUUUUGGAUUCUCUCACUUCUCAAACUCUGCAGUACGAAAGAGAACAGUUGUUGCCAUCGAAGGGACUGCGCGAUUUAUAGCUGAAAUAUGCAUAAACUAAUGGCCCAUAUCGUUGGUCGGUGACUCAAAAAUCUAAGCAAAAUUCAAAUGGCAAUUCCAUGGGCCAUGAGCACAAGUCUCCACUCGUGUCCUGAGACUAAUAUCAGAAGUGUUUCCAUCAUUUAUGUCACCCAUAUGCAUCAUUAAUGCCUUUUCAGCCUUCUUAUGCUUGAGGGCAAUUUCUGCCUGACACUAGUUGUGGCUUGUGGUGGAGAUUCACAUGACAACCACAAUUUGUGCAUUUUUAAGUUCCCUUACCUGCAGCACUAUUAU
This 1215-nucleotide unclassified non-coding RNA is filed under the name Hevea brasiliensis (rubber tree). The record is from RNAcentral. Lineage: Eukaryota; Viridiplantae; Streptophyta; Magnoliopsida; Malpighiales; Euphorbiaceae.